GGCGCUGAGGAAAAACGCCCCGAUGUCGUCUGGGAUGGAUUCUGACAGGACGGCGGCACGGCCUGCAGCGAGGGGGGCAGGAAUCGGGGUGGUGCGGUGGAGCUGCGCAGGGAAACGUCGGAUGUGGUUAGCUGUGAAGGUGGAAAUUCUUCCUGCCAUGAAACACACUGUUCUCUCAAGACACGACAAGGCAUUCUUCAUUAAAUAGAGUGUGAUUGUGUCGUUCAGAGAGGAGCUACAUCAUUCUGCCUCUUCCUGAGCAUGAUUUGAAUGUCGGGAUCAGCCCAAGACAAUGCAAGAACACAAGCCAUGAAAUCAAGAAUCUAGGAAAAAAGAAGUGUCUUACCUCCGUUUUUUUUCUAGCAAGGGGUUCUGCCUUAUACGGUCUGGGGUAGAGCUGUUUCUUGUGUUCAUAGCAACAUCUGUCCGGUCACUGUCAUUCAUGUCAAGUAGCAGAGCAAUUUGCUGAUUCACUCAAAAGAGACACAGAAUGAGACUUUUUUCAUGGAAGCCUUUUUUUCCCUCCUAUGCUGGCAGACCUAACUCCUGGCUUUGUACUCUCCGGGACAGUCACUUAAUGAGCAGUCAGUGAAUCAAUCCUUACAAGACACACAGACUGAAAUGUUCAAAUGCAACUACCUGAACGUGAAUCGAAGGCACUGAUGGGAGAAUGCAACAACCCUUUGCACAGUGCCCGGCGUCAGUCUUAUGCUUGCUUAUCUCACGGGAAAGUCACACUGUGGAUUUGAAUUCACUAUUUAAUCUAAAUACUCUCAGUGAGACACUGGCUGUCAGAAGUGACUUUGUAAAUCAGUCUACGGGAGAUCGGAAAGGGGAGAAAUAGAUGACAACAAGGAGACGUCUUGAAGGAAGAACUAGGAAACAGCAGAAUGGUUGGAUGUUGGGGAUCCUCCACCUGUACCAGUCAGAAUUCCCUGGCCUCGAGUCUGUCUGUGCUUCAUGAACUAAGCAAAAAAAAAAAAAAAAAAAAGGAAUUAAAAGACAAGGUGAAAAAAAAAAAAGGCAAAAAAAGCAAAAUGUCAGUAUAAGACUUCUUCACCUAAAUCAGAAAAUGCGGUUCUGAAGAGCCCACAGGAAGCUAGUAGACAAGGAGCAGUGGUGGAAUCUUAAUAGAAUUUAGCUGACAAAUGUGGAAGAGUGGCAUGAAUCAAUCAGAGAUUUACAGUUUGGCCAGGUUGGAUGGUUUCCCAGAAGGGUACUGAAAAGAACUUGAAGGCCAUGCAGCUUCUUUCUUUCUCAACUGUGAUUGCAUGACAGUUUAGUGGCUUCUGCCAAGAUGAAAAGGCAUGCAGGCAUCUUAAUAAAGUAGCUAAUGAGCAGAAUUUCUUUUGUUGAUGAAUAAAUGGUUUUUCCUACCUCAUUAUUUUAAAUGUGAGGACUGUGUUCAGUUUGGAGUGUGUUUUUAAACCAGCCUGAUGGACUUGCUUGACAUGGACAGCUCAAAUGGUUUCGUUUUGGCAAACUGGCAACCAGCUGAAAAUGUGAUCUUCUGCUGGUCACAGAGCAACAAGUGGUCUUGUGUGAGUGCAUACGAGUGGAUGAGGCUGUGAUUUGAACGAAGAGCUGAACAGCCAUGUGCCUGCAUCUGAAAGAGAGCACAGCUGGGCAAUGAUAGUGCAGAAGGAAGGCUCUAGAGACUCUUCUCAUUAAAGUAUCUCUGAUUGUCAAAGAGAACUGUUCGUUUGUUCUGUGAAUACUACCAUGCGUUACAGGUCUUGCUGUUUCCAAAGGCGAGUGGUGGUAUAUGGAAUGAAGGCACCAUAGCUGCAAACAGACUGGCAGUGAAAAUCUGAAUUUCGGACAGGACUUUCUAAGAAAUGUAUGUCCACACUGGUCUGCGGAGUCUUUCUGAAAUGAUUGAAGGAAGGAGCCUGCAGGCCUUCACAAGAGGAGUUCCUUUUGGAACCAAAGGCAAUAAAACUCUUAGACUGCCAAUAUCAGGAGCUUGGUUUCAACAACCUGAGAUGCGAUGUGCAUGUGUCUGUUGCCUUAGCCUUUACCUUGAUGUCUUUCCAAAAUGUGUUCUCUGGAGUAAGUUCUCAUACAAGCUAGCCUGCUGUUCUGCAUCUUUUCUGUUUUCCCCAGGCUGCAGCAGGUUCACCUUCUAAGCUGGCCCAUCAGCAAUGCUGUGAGAGCUCAGUAGCUUUAUUUGCCCUGUCUUCUCCGUUUGUUUUUCCUUCAAACCCUUAGCAAGCCUUUUUGUCUUCGCCACCUCUGAACUCUCUGCUGCUGUCUUCUGCCUGGGUCCUACUGCACCAGGGGUCAUCUCUGCUUCAUGUAGUAUGGCCUUGGCCUCCAGCUGCCACUAGUUUGGGUUGAAGGCUGAGCAGGGGCUGUGGGGCUGAGCCCACAGCUGGAACACUGCCAUCAGCAUAGGGGAGGAGGGAAGAGGUCUUUUCUCGCUCUCCUUGCAUAUUUGCACCCAUUGGAGCCUUGGUGUUGCUGCCAUGGACCCACAAGGUUGCCCUCAUCAGUGCUAGGCAUUCAGUAUUCAGCUUGAACGUGGAGGUGUGCUUUGCCAGGAGGAACACCACCAUUUCCAGGCAGCAGGGAUGCACAUCACCAGAUCUCUCAGUGCCACAAGAGGCCAUCCCAACUCCAAACACUACAUGGGGAAGCUGCCUGGAAAAUGGGAGAGAAUUUCUACAUCAGGAGUGACUCAGGACUUUGGUAUAUUGCGUUCUCAAAUAUUUAUUUCAGUGUUCUUAUAAAUGUUUUAUUUGGAGAAAAAUAUUGUAAUUAGC
This 2765-nucleotide long non-coding RNA is filed under the name Gallus gallus (chicken). RNAcentral's name for it is "long non-coding RNA NONGGAT002958". The record is from RNAcentral. Lineage: Eukaryota; Metazoa; Chordata; Aves; Galliformes; Phasianidae.